Molecule: ribosomal RNA, 255 nt
Filed under: uncultured bacterium
Lineage: Bacteria
Description: partial 16S ribosomal RNA
Rfam family: Bacterial small subunit ribosomal RNA
Source: RNAcentral
GUUCCUGGCUCAGAACGAACGCUGGCGGCAGGCUUAACACAUGCAAGUUGAACGGGAUUUGUGUGGUGCUUGCACCAUAUAAUGAGAGUAGCGCACUGGUGAGUAACACGUGGGAACGUGCCUUUUAGUGGGGGAUAACAUCUGGAAACGGAUGCUAAUACCGCAUACGCCCUGAGGGGGAAAGAUUUAUUGCUAAGAGGUCGGCCCGCGGUAGAUUAGGCAGUUGGUGGGGUAAAGGCCUACCAAACCUACGAU